Long non-coding RNA from Homo sapiens (human), 270 nucleotides. RefSeq lists it as uncharacterized. The record is from RefSeq and is a predicted model, not a curated record. NCBI's taxonomy places the organism in Eukaryota, Metazoa, Chordata, Mammalia, Primates, Hominidae. The transcript has 3 exons.
CACACAUUUGGCGGAAUGGGGACCCAAGCCCUGCUGAACCAGGAUGAGGACCUCCUCCCACACGGGGUGGUGGGCUUCACAGAGAGGAGGCGAGUUGCUCUGGAAGAGUCUCAAGCUGGGAAGUGGGAAAUCGCGUCUGAGCAUCCGUCACGAAGGGAGGGAGCCCUCCAGGAGGUGCUGCAGGUUUACUGAAGUCAACCCAUUACAAGUGCGGACAUGCUUGGAGAUAACAGAAGCCUGCGAGUUCUUAAUAUCCUGCCUGGCAUGCGG